Non-coding RNA from Gopherus flavomarginatus (Mexican gopher tortoise), 669 nucleotides. Lineage: Eukaryota; Metazoa; Chordata; Testudines; Testudinidae. The record is from the annotation of a RefSeq genome assembly.
GCGGCCCCUGGGUCUGUGCAGUGACCAGCCAGUCCCUGAGAACUUUCCCCUCAGACACCCGGGAAAAUGGGAUUUUUGCUCCUUGUGAUUUUCGCUGCAGCAGCUUUGGAAGGUGUCCGGUGCCAGGUGCAGCUGGUGGAGUCCGGAGGGGACGUGAAAAAGCCCGGAGACUCUCUCCGCCUCUCCUGCAAAGCCUCCGGGUUCACCUUCAGCAGCGCCUACAUGAGCUGGGUCCGGCAGGCUCCCGGGAAGGGGCUGGAGUGGGUGGCUGAGAUUAGACAUGAUGCAUCCAAGCAGUGGUACUCCCCGGCUGUUGAAGGCCGAUUCACCAUCUCCAGGGACAACUCCAACAACCUGCUGUAUCUGCAAAUGACCGGCCUGAAGCCCGAGGACACCGCCCGCUAUUACUGUGCGAGAGACACAGUGACACGAAACUGGUUUGUGAUCCUACAAAAACCAGAGCUGCGGAACUUCCCGCGCCUGCCGCAUGGGGGCAGCAACGACACAAGAAAAACUCCCCUGCUGCACAGCAAAGCGCUGCUCGCCUCACGCAAACAUCUCCUCACACUGGAGUUAACGGGAGAUCUCCAGGAAGCGAAGCAACGAGCAAUUGGCCCCUUCUCCAUGGGAGACUUUAGUGCCCAUGAGGGCAGGGGACUGGACUCGAUG